RNAcentral lists this ribosomal RNA (468 nucleotides) under uncultured bacterium. RNAcentral's name for it is "partial 16S ribosomal RNA". It matches the Rfam family "Bacterial small subunit ribosomal RNA", at positions 28 to 507 of the family's 1533-position model. The record is from RNAcentral.
GACGAGCGCUGGCGGCGUGCUUAACACAUGCAAGUCGAACGGAAAGGCCCUGCUUUUGUGGGGUGCUCGAGUGGCGAACGGGUGAGUAACAUGUGAGUAACCUGCCCUUGACUUUGGGAUAACUUCAGGAAACUGGGGCUAAUACCGGAUAGGAGCUCCUGCUGCAUGGUGGGGGUUGGAAAGUUUCGGCGGUUGGGGAUGGACUCGCGGCUUAUCAGCUUGUUGGUGGGGUAGUGGCUUACCAAGGCUUUGACGGGUAGCCGGCCUGAGAGGGUGACCGGCCACAUUGGGACUGAGAGACGGCCCAGACUCCUACGGGAGGCAGCAGUGGGGAAUAUUGCACAAUGGGCGGAAGCCUGAUGCAGCAACGCCGCGUGCGGGAUGACGGCCUUCGGGUUGUAAACCGCUUUCGCCUGUGACGAAGCGUGAGUGACGGUAAUGGGUAAAGAAGCACCGGCUAACUACGUG